This 468-nucleotide ribosomal RNA is filed under the name uncultured bacterium. Its description in RNAcentral is "partial 16S ribosomal RNA". It matches the Rfam family "Bacterial small subunit ribosomal RNA", at positions 28 to 507 of the family's 1533-position model. The record is from RNAcentral.
GACGAACGCUGGCGGCGUGCUUAACACAUGCAAGUCGAACGGAAAGGCCCUGCUCUUGUUGGGUGCUCGAUUGGCGAACGGGUGAGUAACACAUGUGUAACCUCCCCUUGACUUUCGGAUAACUUCACGAAACUGGGGCUAAUACCGGAUAUGAGCUCCUGCUGCAUGGUGGGGGUUGGAAAGUUUCGGCGGUUGGGGAUGGACUCGCGGCUUAUCCGCUUGUUGGUGGGGUAGUGGCUUACCAAGCCUUUGGCGGAUAGCCGGCCUGAGAGGGUGACCGGGCACAUGGGGACUGAGAGACGGCCCAGACUCCUACGGGAGGCAGCAGGGGGGAGUAUGGCACAGUGGGCGGAAGCCUGAUGCGGCGACGCCGGGUUCGGGAUGACGGCCUUCGGGUUGUGAACCGCUUUCGCCGGAGACGAAGCGUGAGUGACGGUAAUGGGUAAAGAAGCAACGGCUAACUACGUG